Equus asinus (donkey) is the source of this 1417-nucleotide long non-coding RNA. The record is from Ensembl. Lineage: Eukaryota; Metazoa; Chordata; Mammalia; Perissodactyla; Equidae.
GGGCAGGGCGGGGAGGCGGGGUCCGGCGGCCGGGGGCGGGCCGCGGCGGGGCGGGGCCGAGGCGCGGCGGCGGGCCGGCCGCCAUCUUGGAGUCGGGCAAAGGGGAGGGCAGGCGCGGCCUCGCGGGGGCUGUCGCGCGCCGAAGCAUCCUUCGCAUGCCCAGGGCGGCGUGUUGCUGUUUGUCGCCCUGUGCCAUCGUGAAGGAGGAAACUCCGAAAAUCUGGUUUAUUUAUUCACAACAAGGCUUUGUCCAGGUCGGAGGCCGCAACAGCCGGAAAGCACAAGCCCAGGGAGACCUGGGAGUCAUCUCUGGGCAAAAGUAGUGGGUGAAGCAGCCUUCGGUGUCCGCCCACCUCCUCCUGGUGAUUUUUCAGUUGUUAGCUGGUGGCACCUUGUUCUGCCACAAGCCCAGCUGGGCUAGGGCGGCAGGAUAUCUUGCCGAGAGACUCAAGAAACGACCGGGAGACUGCGGACGAGACAUACAGAUUUAUUGGGACUUUCUUACAGGGAGAAUGUCCGGUGGCGGCCGGCUGGACGGACAUGUGCACCCCCAACCGCCCCCUAAGAGAAGCUUGCUUAAGUAGGCGGAGGAACAAAGGAUGCAUGCUUGCUAAAGGGCUGUCCUUGGUGCGACCAGCGUCCCCAGGAACAGUAGCUCACGUGGAGGAGCUCUGUGUCCCUGUAAGACGCGAUGUUCUUCUCCUGGGAUAAGGGAGAGUCCGGGCUGGCCAGGCCCAGAUCGUUACAAAUCCCGGUAGCUGGGCUGCCUGCCCAGAAGGGAGCCAGAAGGACACAUGGUUGCAAUGGGCCUGGGGGUUUCUGCUGAGCAAGCAAGGCCCCAGCCCUACACAACUCUUUUCUCUGGCGCCCUGCCCGAAACCCUCUCUAGUGACUUGGACGUAUCUAUUUAGAUAAAGGGGACUUUGAAAGACCCCAAGCUCCCUUUGCUGUCAUCACAGGCACUGUAGUAGAGGGACCAGUUCCUCAUUGAGAGGCAGGCUCCGAACUGCGAAAACGCAUGGUGAUCUGCGUCUGUUUGGAAGCCUGAACCAGCCAAGGGGCUUUGACGAGGCUCCUGCCCAACGUGGAUAUGAGGAGACCCUCAGAAUGAAGAUGGUGGCAUCAGCACAUACAAGUGGUCAAAUCUACGGUGACCUUUUAAUGAGGAAAUUUGGAAAAUGUCCAGCGAAACCGUGUUUCCCCUAGGCCUGGAAGGUACCUGAGAAAACCCCAGUCUCCUCAGCUGAAAAUAGGGCAUGUUCAAAGGAGGAGGAUGGUCUGGAGUCUAGAAAGUGGGGAGCCGAAGAACAAGAACUGAACUGAGAUCUCAGGCCGUCUUUAGGAGUUUCAGCAGGAAGAAAAUGAAGAUAUAUCUGUUCAAUAUGACAUCUUUCUCUGGAAAUCAGUCCUAUUUCUG